UACGUAGGGUGCGAGCGUUAAUCGGAAUUACUGGGCGUAAAGCGUGCGCAGGCGGUCGUGUAAGACAGGUGUGAAAUCCCCGGGCUUAACCUGGGAACUGCAUUUGUGACUGCACGGCUGGAGUGCGGCAGAGGGGGAUGGAAUUCCGCGUGUAGCAGUGAAAUGCGUAGAUAUGCGGAGGAACACCGAUGGCGAAGGCAAUCCCCUGGGCCUGCACUGACGCUCAUGCACGAAAGCGUGGGGAGCAAACGGG
Molecule: ribosomal RNA, 253 nt
Filed under: uncultured bacterium
Lineage: Bacteria
Description: partial 16S ribosomal RNA
Rfam family: Bacterial small subunit ribosomal RNA
Source: RNAcentral